GGCUUCGGGGCCUGAAACCCCAGGCUUGGCUUGUUUGAUGUUUAGCAUCCCAAAGCGGCUCCCCACCCCCGCCCCAGCCUGGGAACCCCGAGCUCCGGGGCCGAAGAGAAGGGGAAGCAGUUCUCUCAGCUGGAGGGCGGUGGAUUGGCUGGGCUUAGAGAAGUGGCGAAAACUACAGGACUCCCCGCCCUGAGCAGGGGAGAAAGGGAUCCCGGAAUGAUGCGGUCAUCCAUGAGGAUAUAGCUGGAGUCCUAAAGGCCAAGAGGCAGACGGGGAAAGAAAUGUCACAAUUUGGGGGAAUACACUGGAGAUAGGGGCCAGGUCGGUGGAAAUAGCUUGGGGCCACCGCGAAAACAAGGUAAGCGGUGUCUGGGUCCAGUUAGUGAGCAUCGAGAACGGCGUCCACGACUGCAGGGCUAUCAGGGCCUCGAGGAGACAGCGCUCCGUGCCACUGCUUAGUGCUUGGCCUUUCAUAGGGACGAACCUGCUUAGGAGUCUUCCAAGAGAUUUUUAAAUCCUCCGAGUCUGGACCUGGAAGCUCCAUUGGCGACGUUUGGAUCUGGCUUCGUAGUCUUUGAUUUCGAAAGCCCAGGAAGAUUCGCAGACUUUCAAGGCCGCACACACCGCAUUGCCGGGAGUCUGGGCGGCGGUGAGGACUGAGAAGCUGUCUCAAGACCUGAGUCUCUUCUCAGGCGAUCCCAGAUAAGAGGAGAGAGAGAGAGCUUUUCUGACUUCCAACUCAUUAGGGACCAGAUUUGCUCUCCAGCACAGCAAAAGGGUCUGCCUGUGACCCUCACCGAACUCACUCUUCACUGCUUUAUAGAGACCAUCAGACUCAGGACAAAUAUUCUAGUUUGGAUGCGCAAUUAAUAAUAAGAAGAUACAGGACAGAGGCGGACUGAAUGGCUCCAAUUCUCAGAAUGUGAAAGCGUAAAUCAGAACCUACUAUUUUGUAAAACCAACUUGGAAAACAAAAUUGUCAGAAGCAAAACAACAACAACAACAACAAUAAAAACCAAACCAACAACAAAACCAAGCAAGUCAGGCUGUUUUACCAAUAAAGGGGGCACUGAAUGGAAUCAGAGAUCUGAUAAGUGCCGGGAAGUUGGACUAAGAGGGACAGGAGACUUCGAAACUUCUCUGAAUACUGCUCUGGGAUCAGUACACGUCAACCUGAACCCGGAAGAGUUCCAAGUAUCUUUCCCCUUCUCUGUCAGGUUCGUGUUACCCUGAACCUGUGAGCUCAGAAGGAAUUUUCUGGUUUUCGGGAGACGGCAGCCAUUCAUCAUAGCUCUCCACCACUGACUGACUGAGAGUCAAUUAUCAUCAAACAUCCAUCUGCCCAUG
Molecule: long non-coding RNA, 1347 nt
Filed under: Rattus norvegicus (Norway rat)
Lineage: Eukaryota; Metazoa; Chordata; Mammalia; Rodentia; Muridae
Description: long non-coding RNA NONRATT025034
Source: RNAcentral